GAUGAACGCUGGCGGCGUGCCUAAUACAUGCAAGUCGAGCGAACAGACGAGGAGCUUGCUCCUCUGACGUUAGCGGCGGACGGGUGAGUAACACGUGGAUAACCUACCUAUAAGACUGGGAUAACUUCGGGAAACCGGAGCUAAUACCGGAUAAUAUAUUGAACCGCAUGGUUCAAUAGUGAAAGACGGUUUUGCUGUCACUUAUAGAUGGAUCCGCGCCGCAUUAGCUAGUUGGUAAGGUAACGGCUUACCAAGGCAACGAUGCGUAGCCGACCUGAGAGGGUGAUCGCCCCCACGGGAACUGAGACCCGGUCCGGCCUCCUGCGGGAGGCCGCAGUAGGGACUCUUCCGAAAUGGGCGAACCCCUGACGGCGCAGCCCCGCGUGAUUGAUAAAGGUCUUCGUAUCUAAAAACUCUUUUAUUGGGAAAAAACAAAUUUGAAAGAAACUAUGCACGUCUGGACGGGCCCUAAUCAGAAAGCCACGCCUAACUACGCC
This 497-nucleotide ribosomal RNA is filed under the name uncultured bacterium. RNAcentral's name for it is "partial 16S ribosomal RNA". It matches the Rfam family "Bacterial small subunit ribosomal RNA", at positions 28 to 507 of the family's 1533-position model. The record is from RNAcentral.